Sturnus vulgaris (Common starling) is the source of this 1810-nucleotide non-coding RNA. NCBI's taxonomy places the organism in Eukaryota, Metazoa, Chordata, Aves, Passeriformes, Sturnidae. The record is from RefSeq and is a predicted model, not a curated record.
GCCGAGCCGAGCCGAGCCGAGCCUAGCGGCUCUGCCACGGCCCGUCCUCUGGCCCCGCUCCCGAAAUGCCAUUCUCGUGACUGUGCAAGGAACCUACAGAACUGUAAUGUCUAACCCUACAUGGAAUAACAGCUCUUGGAAGUUUUUCGGGCUGUACCCGCCUCAGUGCAAAACUUAACAAAUCGGCUGCAGCUCCUUCUGCUAAGGAUCAGCCUUGGUACAGAAACAGUGGUAGUUAAAAGGCACAUGAGAACAUCAGAAACAGCUGGUUUUGUGCCUAGGUUUCACUCAUAGAGGUAGGUCCUUGUUAGAGACUCUGGGUAGUCUGAUGAAAAUGGUGUUUAACUACAAAGCUUCAAUUUCUGCUGUUGCUGAUCAUGGCAGCCUAAUUCCUGGUCUUCCUGAGUCCCUGGAGCAGAGGACAUGCUCUCCUCCUCCUGCUCUGCCCCUGCCCUGCCUCCAUCUCCUCCUCCACCCCACACGUUUCUUAGCCUUGUGUAGAGCUCAGCAGAGAUUUCUUCAUGAAGACUGGAAUGUGUUUAUAUAAUAUUUUAUAUAUUAUUUUAGGCUCCUGCUACUCAAAUGUAGGCAAAUGCUUAACCUCUUAUUCGCCAUCAUUAGACGAACUGUGGAAUUGUUGUAGCAGACAUCAAGUCAGGUGGAUCUAAACCAGCUUCUGUUUUUUCCUGCCUAGGAGGUUCAUCCUUCACCAUUUUCCUGGCAAGUGUGGCUACCAAGAGCAGGUUUUCCAGGCCAGGAGUGUUUAGUGGGAGCAUUGAUUAUGAACCACACUGAUCAAGCAGUGCUGAGCUGGAUAUAGUGGGAGCUCUUCUAUGUUGGGAAGGGAGUGAUGUGAGAAUCUCAAUUUCUGCACAAGCAAAGGUAGGGCAGCAGUAGGAACACUGGGCAGAGCUGCUGAAAAGGAGAGAGCAACCUGCUGCACUAAAUCACAGCUCCCUGGGGACACAGUUCCAUAGUUAGCAUCCUCAAAUGGCAUUCCUUUAUUACGGCAUCAUUGUGCACGGUCCUCUAGAGAGGAAACAAACGCUCUCUAAAACAAUCUGCUGGCAGCUCAGGCUGGAGUAUUUGAGGUUUUCCAGGGCUCUUUUGCUGUGUCACUUUUCCCUUUAAUGUUCCAGCUUGAAGGUUGUUGUUCUUUCUCCAUCAAAGUGCGUUAAAGCGCCGGUAAGAGUGUCUGCUCCAAGGACAAGGUGGAGAAGGCAGCAGCCCAGGGAGAACAAGAGAUACUGCAGAACAGCUUUGUUUUGGUGUAAUCUGUCUUAUCUGCAUGUGAUGCAAAGACAGGGCAGUUUUCACAGGACCUGGAGGCUGCGUGGUGACAUGUUUUCUGUCCUUUUAUAAAAUCCGCCACGUUAUUUUGAUUAGAGCGCUAACGUAACUCCUGGCAGCCUCAAAUCUCACUGCUAGCAGCUACUUCCCUCCAAAGCCUGAUGUGGUGUUAACAAGCAGAGAGAUCUUGUGCGUCCUGUUUACAUGGAGCUGGGAAGACAGCGUGUUCUGUGGGAGGUGCCAAGGUAGCUGCAGUUGGAUAUAAGGUGAAAAAAACUCUGUGUGUGCAGACAGGCCUUGGUGGGGCGUGUUCAUUUGUGUUUGGUGGUGUUCAGGAACUCCAGCUGCAAUACUGGCAUGAUGAUGUUAUGUUCUUUUAUAUCUGAAUAUGUAUCUUUUAUAUCUAUGCAUGUGUAGCAUGCUUGUGUUUGUAUCUAUUUAUAUUGAUAUGUAUAUAGCUAUUCUCUCUCAUAGGAAAGUCCAUGUCCUGAUCAUCUGUGCUUGUGAUCUUCUCACGUAG